GGCGGCGUGCCUAAUACAUGCAAGUUGAACGCUUCUUUCUUAUCGAACUUCGGUUCACCAAGAAAGAGGAGUAGCGAACGGGUGAGUAACACGUGGGUAACCUGCCCAUCAGCGGGGGAUAACACUUGGAAACAGGUGCUAAUACCGCAUAAUGCUUUUUCUCACAUGAGAGAAAGCUGAAAGGCGCUUUUGCGUCACUGAUGGAUGGACCCGCGGUGCAUUAGCUAGUUGGUAGGGUAACGGCCUACCAAGGCAACGAUGCAUAGCCGACCUGAGAGGGUGAUCGGCCACACUGGGACUGAGACACGGCCCAGACUCCUACGGGAGGCAGCAGUAGGGAAUCUUCGGCAAUGGACGAAAGUCUGACCGAGCAACGCCGCGUGAGUGAAGAAGGUUUUCGGAUUCGUAAAAACUCUGU
RNAcentral lists this ribosomal RNA (418 nucleotides) under Enterococcus italicus. RNAcentral describes it as "bacterial SSU rRNA". It matches the Rfam family "Bacterial small subunit ribosomal RNA", at positions 38 to 436 of the family's 1533-position model. Lineage: Bacteria; Bacillati; Bacillota; Bacilli; Lactobacillales; Enterococcaceae. The record is from RNAcentral.